CCAAUCUCCCUAAGAC
Molecule: transfer RNA, 16 nt
Filed under: Rangifer tarandus caribou
Lineage: Eukaryota; Metazoa; Chordata; Mammalia; Artiodactyla; Cervidae
Also listed under: 2 other names
Description: partial tRNA-Thr
Source: RNAcentral